AUCCAGCUGACGAGUCCCAAAUGGGACGAAACUCAAGUCCUAGAU
Molecule: non-coding RNA, 45 nt
Organism: Schistosoma rodhaini
Lineage: Eukaryota; Metazoa; Platyhelminthes; Trematoda; Strigeidida; Schistosomatidae
Source: Rfam